This 456-nucleotide ribosomal RNA is filed under the name Hepatocystis sp. RNAcentral describes it as "SSU rRNA". It matches the Rfam family "Eukaryotic small subunit ribosomal RNA", at positions 197 to 645 of the family's 1831-position model. The record is from RNAcentral. Lineage: Eukaryota; Apicomplexa; Aconoidasida; Haemosporida; Plasmodiidae.
AAUACAGUACUUGUUAUGCCUUAUUAAAAAAAAGUUUUAUAACAUAAGGAAUUAUAACAAAGAAGCAACACAUAAAAUAUGACAUUCAUAUUUUUUAGUGUGUAUCAAUCGAGUUUCUGACCUAUCAGCUUUUGAUGUUAGGAUAUGGGCCUAACAUGGCUAUGACGGGUAACGGGGAAUCAGGGUUCGAUUCCGGAGAGGGAGCCUGAGAAACGGCUACCACAUCCAAGGAAGGCAGCAGGCGCGCAAAUUACCCAAUUCUAAAGAAGAGAGGUAGUGACAAGAAAUAAUAGGACAAGACUAAUUUUUUAGUUUUGUAUCUGUGCUGAUAGAAUUUUAAAACCAUUCUAAAAUUCCAUUGGAGGGCAAGUCUGGUGCCAGCAGCCGCGGUAAUUCCAGCUCCAAUAGCGUAUAUUAAAGUUGCUGCAGUUAAAAAGCUCGUAGUUGGAUUUCAAA